AACCUCCACCGAAUAUUCCACAGAGUACUCUGCAGAUUGAUCCGUGUCUGUUGUAUGGAUCCGGUUCACAGACAUUUUGGUGUAAUAAAGCUGAAGUCCAGUCUGCUGCCAUGGUGGACCAACAGAAUCUUGAGCCAAAGCAAGUCCUCUGUUACUGUUGCUAAGAUGAAACCAAAGUAACUGUCAGCUCGCAACAAUGUCUUGGGAAAUGUGGCUACUGUGGAGUGAAGAGGUGAUUGUUAAUUGUUAUUUAAGCCUGACUGCAGCAGACAGCUCUCGCUCUGAUGCUCGGCUGCCUUGCUGCUGCAGCUCUCUGUCCCCUUUCCCUACAGGCACACUGUUUGUUUUGGUUAUGUUACGUUAGUUCCUUGUUUUUUGCUUUCAUGCACCCUACAAUACACUCUCCGCUCAUGCAACACAUUAUUUCACUGAUCACUGAUUUCCAUACCCCAUAUUGUAGAUAUGUCUAGUGUGUCUCCCUUUUGUUGUGGCCACUUGAACCAGGUCAUAACAAUGUUCAUGAGAUUAAAACUGAAUGUAGGUUUAUUUGUGCUGAACUCCAGAGAUAGUGUCUGAUGUAGUUGAAAACAAAAAAGUACUGUGAACAACUCAACACAUCAGAGUGUCCUUUUCAGCUAUGAUCCCUUCAAUGUACUGCUGUACCUGUGGUCAUUUCAUUAAA
Thunnus maccoyii (southern bluefin tuna) is the source of this 682-nucleotide long non-coding RNA. RefSeq lists it as uncharacterized. The transcript has 4 exons. The record is from RefSeq and is a predicted model, not a curated record. Lineage: Eukaryota; Metazoa; Chordata; Actinopteri; Scombriformes; Scombridae.